AGAGUUUGAUUCUGGCUCAGGAUGAACGCUGGCGGCGUGCCUAAUACAUGCAAGUCGAACGAGGUGGAUGGGAGCUUGCUCCUUGAUACCGAGUGGCGAACGGGUGAGUAACACGUAGGUAACCUGGCCCUUAAGCUUGGGAUACCCAGAGGAAACUUUGGCUAAUACCGGAUAACAACAGAGGAGGCAGUCUCCUUUGCUUGAAGGGCCCUUUACAGGGUCACUUAAGGAUGGACCUGCGGCGCAUUAGCUAGUUGGUGAGAUAAAAGCCCACCAAGGCGAGGAUGCGUAGCCGACCUGAGAGGGUGAUCGGCCACAUUGGAACUGAGACUACGGUCCAAACUCCUACGGGAGGCAGCAGUAAGGAGUUUUCGGCAAUGGGGGAAACCCUGACCGAGCAACGCCGCGUUGAGUGAUGACGGCCCUAUGGGUUGUAAAGCUCUGUUGUAAGGGACGAACGAUCGUUUAGGAAAUGAAACGGUUCUGACGGUACCUUACCAGAAAGCCACGGCUAACUACGUGCCAGCCGCCGC
This 533-nucleotide ribosomal RNA is filed under the name uncultured bacterium. RNAcentral's name for it is "bacterial SSU rRNA". It matches the Rfam family "Bacterial small subunit ribosomal RNA", at positions 8 to 518 of the family's 1533-position model. The record is from RNAcentral.